CUGCUGCCUUCCGUAGGAGUUUGGGCCGUGUCUCAGUCCCAAUGUGGCCGUCCACCCUCUCAGGCCGGCUACUGAUCGUCGCCUUGGUGGGCCGUUACCCCGCCAACAAGCUAAUCAGACGCGG
Molecule: ribosomal RNA, 124 nt
Filed under: uncultured bacterium
Lineage: Bacteria
Description: partial 16S ribosomal RNA
Source: RNAcentral